GCAAAGUGCGCGGACCCGGGUCCUGGACCGAAGAUUUAGCCCAGGGUUUCGUGUGUGUUGCUCCCUGUUGCUUUCUACGGGGUCUGCGCUGGCCUCCUCCUCGGGCGACUGGGCCCUGAGGCAACAGCGCCUUCUCGAGCCCCGAGGAUUGACCGCCCCGAGCCUGCUUGGAGCAGGGCCUCUCUCCAGCGCGGUGUGAUGAAACACCAGCUGCUGUGAAGAUAUACCCUUAGAAACGAACCGUCUGUUAAUAUGGUAAAAAUAUUUUUCGCUUUCUUGAAUAGUGACUAUGGGGAUAGGGCUAUUACCCCAUAGUUUAGGAUUCUAAAUUGAGCGAUGUGGGGUGGGGGAAAUAGAAGGGAAUCAAAUAUUUGGAAAGGCACAGAAAGCCAAGAUGCCAAUUUAUUAGUCCCAGAUAAGCAAGAUAGUAACAGUUUAUAAGCCUGUCUUAACAGGGACUGGAAGAGCCUGGGCAAUUACUUAUGAAAGACAAAACUCAAGACUAAGUUGGGAAGUUCUGUAGGAAAAGCAUCGUAAGUCUCACAGUAGUAGUAAAACAGGAAGUGUACUCUGACUCAUGUUUGAAGUACUUUUCUGGGAAGGGGAAAAAAUGUGUUCAUGACUGGAAUACUUACCUUGUGCCAAGUAUGUGUUAAGCAUUUUUCAUGUAACCUUUCAUUUAAUCCUUGUGUGACUUCCAUGAGUUAGGUAUUACUGUCCACAUUUUACAGCUUAUGAAAACAGGGGCUCAGAGAGGAUGUACUUUUCUCAAGACCACACAGCUGGAAAAAAACCAUUCUUCCAGGAGAGGCUCCUCCAAGCAAACUUCCCCUUACAUCUCUUACCAGAACUGGGUCACAUGCUCCCAUCUAAAACAACCACUGGCCAUUAGAAAUGGUGUUACCAUGCCUGUCUUGGACCAAUCACAUUUGAUCCUCUGAGGAUAGAGACAUGUUGCCACCUGAACAACUGUGGGGUGCUGUACUCCUGGCAAGCAGGGAGAAUGGCUGUGGCUAGGCAACUGACAGCAUCUACCACAAAUAUGUUACUCAGAAGAAGAAUCGAGGAUGGCCAUAAUUUUUAUUUAAAGAUUUCUAUUUUACAGAGGCAUAUCUGAUUAAGGGACAUUUAAACUUCCCUGUUAAACUUAUCAAGACAAAAAGACAAGGCAUCUUGCCACAUUUCUUAAAUAUUCUCUGCAGUCUCUCUUGACCUUUUCCCAGCUGUGCUGUAAACAUAAAGAUAAUAACAUAUCUGAAUAACAUUUUAUGGUGCACAGAUAAUUUUCACAUACAUUAUCCAUUUGACCCUCACCAUAACUGUGUGGGGUAGGUAAGGUACGAUUGUACUUUUCAUUAAUUUUUUUUUUUUUGAGACACAGUCUCGUUCUGUCACCCAGGCUAGAGUGCAGUGGUGCGAUCUGGGCUCACUGCAACCUCCACCUCCCAGGUUCAAGUGAUUCUCCUGCCUCAGCCUCCAAGUAGCUGGGAUUACAGGCAAGUGCCACCAUGCCUGGCUAGUUUUUGUAAUUUUUUAGUAGAGACAGGGUUUCACCAUGUUGGCCAGGCUGGUCUAGAACUCCUGACCUCAGGUGAUCCACGUGCCUCGGCCUCCCAAAGUGCUGGGGUUACAGGCAUGAGCCACUGCUCCUGGCCACUUUUCAUUAAUUUUUAUUGGACUUAGGAUUAGAAGGAUGAGCAAAUCCUACUACUUAGUGCGUGGAAUACUGGCAUCUAUUGUUUUUGCUUGGCUCCUCUCUUGUUUUAAUAAUUAACUAAUCGAUCCAUUCUCUUUUAUUGCCAUCUCCCACUCACACUUUUUCCUCCACAUAGGCAAUCAUUCUAAAUAUGUCCAAUGUUUAUCUUAUUUGUAUGCGUAUUUAUAAAGUGAAUAUUUUGUUUAGUGUGUAUGCAGUUUCGUUUGCAUAAAUUGUAAUAUUCUGUGAAUCUCAUUCUGUUUUGUACUUUUUUCAUUCUGCUCUGUUUUUAGAAGUGAUCCAUGUUGCUAUGUGUAUCUACUCCAUUGCCUUUAAAUGCUGCAUAAUACUCCACGGUGUUUGUCGAUCAUGUUUUACUCAUCUUUGCCCCCUAGUGGAAACCAUGAUGGCCUCCAACUCUGCACACAAAUAGUUUCAAACAAGAACCGCUGGUGAAAUGUGACUGCUGAUGGACCUGGGUGGGAAUUUCUCUGGGAUGCCGACUAAAAAGCAUGGUGGCUGGGUCAUAAAAUGCACACUUAAUUUGAAUAAGUGCCACCCAGUGGCUCUCCACAAAGCCUGCACUAGUCCAUUCUACUAGAAAUUAUUCACAUUUAACUGGAAACUGGGUCUUGGAGAUGUUAAGUAACUUGCUCAAGCUCACAUAAGGAGUAAAAGUGAAUUAGGACAUCCAGGACCCAAAUCCAGGCCUUGUAACUUCAGGUCAAUUUUAUUU
This is a long non-coding RNA of Homo sapiens (human), 2432 nucleotides long. RefSeq lists it as uncharacterized. NCBI's taxonomy places the organism in Eukaryota, Metazoa, Chordata, Mammalia, Primates, Hominidae. The record is from RefSeq and is a predicted model, not a curated record. The transcript has 3 exons.